Pongo pygmaeus (Bornean orangutan) is the source of this 1166-nucleotide long non-coding RNA. RefSeq lists it as uncharacterized. Lineage: Eukaryota; Metazoa; Chordata; Mammalia; Primates; Hominidae. The transcript has 4 exons. The record is from RefSeq and is a predicted model, not a curated record.
UGGGAAACCCCAUCAAAAAAAAAAAAAAAAAAAAAAAAAGUGUGCUGUUUAGUUAUACCUAUAAGAAUUCUUUUAUCUUCUACCUUUUACUCCCUAGUACUCAUGGAAUGCCCAGCAUCUGAAUUAGCAAUAAAAGGUGACUCCCUGUCAUCACUUGGGGAGAGAGUGACACCUGCUGCUGGAAGCUCUGCUAAACGUUUUAAAACAACUUGGACAGAAUCAAGAUCCUGCAAAAUGUUUGCCUUGAUUUAAAAAUUCAGCUGCACAAAUGGAGGAGAGGAAACAUAACCAGGAUUAACAGCAAUAUAUACCUAAGAGCCGUAAGGAUUUUAGUGGACUACAAGUGCUCACUUCCCCACAACUUAAGACAGCCGUAAGCUAAAUUAUUAAAGGCAGCUGAUGACCAGGGCUGAGAACUUGCUCCAGACCACGAGCCUCUCUGUUGAUAAAGCAAGAAGACUCACAGUUUCUCGGCAUCUCAGGGAGCCUGCAGCAGUGAUCCAGUUCUUUCAAAGGGUCUGUGGAUUCUCAGCUUUCCAGACUAGGCUCUGGUGAUAGGUCACCUUCCAUCGGGAAAAGAAAGCAGCGCAAGUAAAGAAACAACAUCAUUUUGUGAUGAUGCGAUGACGGAAAUAAACAGGAAGAUAUGAUAAAUAGUACAUGGAGUGCCUACUUCACAAGAAAGCCUGAGAGAGUCCAGUUGUAUUCAAGGAGAGGCAGAAGUAGCCAGGAGGCAGAUCCGGUAGGACCGUGAAAGGCAUGGUAAGAAGUUGGGAACGCGUUCCAAUUAUGUUGGAAAGCUGCUGGAAACUUUUAAGCAGGGAAGUGAUACAAUCUGAUUUACAUUUUGAAAAUGGGUUGCUGUUUGAGUAACAAAUUCUAAGUGGGCAGAUGCAGAGGCAGGGAGACCAGUUAGGAAGUGAUUGAAAUGGUCCAUGUGAGAGAAGUCAGUUGGUGGCUUAGUUUAGGGUAGUGGCUGAGGCAAUGGUGAGGAGAGGGUGGAUUCCGUGUAUAACGUGAAUAUAGAAUUGAUAGAGAUUGCUGAUGUGGGGUGUGGGAAAGGGAAAGAUCAAGAUUGCAAAUGAAUUUCAUUUAACAAAUAUGGAGGCUAUUUCUGAGAUAAGAAAGACUGGGAGGAAAACAGGGUGGGUUUUUUUUUUUUUUUU